AGUCGAGCGGUAGAGAGGUGCUUGCACCUCUUGAGAGCGGCGGACGGCUGUGUAAAGCCUAGGAAUCUGCCUGGUAGUGGGGGAUAACGCUCGGAAACGGACGCUAAUACCGCAUACGUCCUACGGGAGAAAGCAGGGGACCUUCGGGCCUUGCGCUAUCAGAUGAGCCUAGGUCGGAUUAGCUAGUUGGUGAGGUAAUGGCUCACCAAGGCGACGAUCCGUAACUGGUCUGAGAGGAUGAUCAGUCACACUGGAACUGAGACACGGUCCAGACUCCUACGGGAGGCAGCAGUGGGGAAUAUUGGACAAUGGGCGAAAGCCUGAUCCAGCCAUGCCGCGUGUGUGAAGAAGGUCUUCGGAUUGUAAAGCACUUUAAGUUGGGAGGAAGGGCAUUAACCUAAUACGUUAGUGUUUUGACGUUACCGACAGAAUAAGCACCGGCUAACUCUGUGCCAGCAGCCGCGGUAAUACAGAGGGUGCAAGCGUUAAUCGGAAUUACUGGGCGUAAAGCGCGCGUAGGUGGUUCGUUAAGUUGGAUGUGAAAUCCCCGGGCUCAACCUGGGAACUGCAUUCAAAACUGUCGAGCUAGAGUAUGGUAG
Molecule: ribosomal RNA, 599 nt
Filed under: uncultured bacterium
Lineage: Bacteria
Description: bacterial SSU rRNA
Rfam family: Bacterial small subunit ribosomal RNA
Source: RNAcentral